This 554-nucleotide ribosomal RNA is filed under the name uncultured bacterium. RNAcentral's name for it is "partial 16S ribosomal RNA". It matches the Rfam family "Bacterial small subunit ribosomal RNA", at positions 355 to 902 of the family's 1533-position model. The record is from RNAcentral.
UGGGGAAUUUUGGACAAUGGGCGAAAGCCUGAUCCAGCAAUGCCGCGUGUGUGAAGAAGGCCUUCGGGUUGUAAAGCACUUUUGUCCGGAAAGAAAUCCUUGGCUCUAAUACAGUCGGGGGAUGACGGUACCGGAAGAAUAAGCACCGGCUAACUACGUGCCAGCAGCCGCGGUAAUACGUAGGGUGCAAGCGUUAAUCGGAAUUACUGGGCGUAAAGCGUGCGCAGGCGGUUUGCUAAGACCGAUGUGAAAUCCCCGGGCUCAACCUGGGAACUGCAUUGGUGACUGGCAGGCUAGAGUAUGGCAGAGGGGGGUAGAAUUCCACGUGUAGCAGUGAAAUGCGUAGAGGUGUGGAGGAAUACCGAUGGCGAAGGCAGCCCCCUGGGCCAAUACUGACGCUCAUGCACGAAAGCGUGGGGAGCAAACAGGAUUAGAUACCCUGGUAGUCCACGCCCUAAACGAUGUCAACUAGUUGUUGGGGAUUCAUUUCCUUAGUAACGUAGCUAACGCGUGAAGUUGACCGCCUGGGGAGUACGGUCGCAAGAUUAAAACUC